GUGCGUAUUCUCUGUGUCUCUCGCGCUGUGACUCGGUGACUAGGCAAGUAGUUGACGCAAGUGUAGGCUACUUCAAGCAACAGGCGCAGCACCAGUAGUUGCAGUGACAGGUCCCUCCCUCUCCGCUGAUGCUAUGGUGCUGAAAUGGGUGCCGGCAUUUAUUUCAAUCACCUCAUUAGAACUGUGCAAUCCCGCCUUUCUACGAGGACUGAAGGAGAGUCGACUUCAAAGAAAGUGGAGCUGGGAAGAUGGAGUUGUACUUUUAUGUUUUGUGAAAAUAUGUAAAACGUAUCUAAAGGGUAAAAGUUUGGUUUCAAUGAGAAGUAGCUGGCAGACAGUGUUCUGGUGUAUUGCGUCUUGCACAAGCAUUUCGCUAUACUCGCAAUAACAUCUGCUAAUCACGUGUACCAAUAAAAAUUGAUUUGAUAUGACACCAAGUGAUGGGCAAAAGCUUUCAAGCGUUCUAUUUCUCUGCUCAUGCAUCCAAGUCGUGUUGGGUCCCUUCUCUAGGUCUCUCUACUUCACCCCUCCCACCACUCCUCUCCCAUCUCAACCACACUAUAGCCUACCCAUAUAUCUGUCUCUUGCUUAUGUCUAGCGAAUGAUUCAGAAAAAGAUCAUGGGCGUAACUAAAAAGGGAAAAGGACCAUUCACGCAGAGUUGGAACAAUAGACAGCAACUCACAAUGGACAAUGCAUAGAGGAGCAGAACUGUUUGGGUUUCUGGACACGUCCACACCGGCGGGCCUGUGACGGGGACCAAUGACAGAUAUGUGCAGCUUCCCUCCGAAGCGGUGAGAAAAUGUGGUGCGGGACUGACUGGCAGACUGAUUACUUGCACAUAUCUGAGAGUCGUCUCUGCUAGUUGGCUUGUCUCAGGCCCCUCAAGCAAAAGUAAAGUCAGUGUUUGGCAUAAACUGCUCGGUGGUGGAUUGACUCAUUGUAUAGCUAAAGUGCAUCCAGAUAGCGCCGGGUUUUUUUCUCUCUGGAAUUGGUUCAAUAUCGUAUAGCUGCAGCAAACUACACUGCUGCUGCAGAGCUCGAGUUUUUCUAUAACUGAAAUUCAGUCUGGACAUCAGUAAGGCCUAUUUAAUUGGAUUACCCCAAGUUCACGGCAACAGGUGCUGAAAUCAGAGAGAGACUUUCAUCCAUAAGCAACUGCCUUAAGCUGGAAAACAUCAGUGUCUACAAACCGAGCAGGCCUCUGGCAGCUAUGCAAACCAUGGUGCUGAAUGGAGGAGGAGAAACAGAGAGAAAGAAGAGUCGGAAGAGAAGGAGAGUGGGAGUGGGUGGAAGGAGAGGAAAGAAUGGAGCAGUGAGUGGUGAACCAGGGAGCAGGUGAACCCAGUAGUGGAUGGCCAUAGGCUCUCUGGCUCUUCUCUGCUCCGUGCAGGGGUCUCAGGGAGCCGGCUGGGGCCAGCCAGGCAACGGCGGAGUGGGCAGGCGAGUCGAGGCGAGGGGAGGCAAGGCAGGCUCUCAUCCCCGCUGGCAAGUUGCUCCUCGGCAGUGCGGAGUAGCAAAUCAAUAUGGAGGAGAGAGGCUAGCAGGGGUUGCCCAGCACUGCCCCUGGCCCUAGAGCCCAGGGACCCAGCGCUGCCAGCCCUCUCUUUCCUCUCCCAGUCCCAGCCAACCCGCACUGUGUGUGUGUGUGUAUUUGAGUGAGUAUGUGUAUAUGUGGGUGUAUGUGUGUGUCUAUUUGAGUGUGUGUGUGUGUGUGUGUGUGUGUGUGUGUGUGUGUGUGUGUGUGUGUGUGUGUGUGUGUGUGUGUGUGUGUGUGUGUGUGUGUGUGUGUGUGUGUGUGUGUGUGUGUGUGUGUGUGUGUGUGUGUGUGUGUGUGUGUGUGUGUGUGUGUUUGAGCACGUCUGUGUGUGUGGUUCCGCCGGAGGGGCUUUCCUGGCUCAAGACCACUUGAUAUAACUUUGCCUGUGAGCGAGAGAGCGAAGGAGAGAGAGAAUAAAAAAUGGACGUCAAAGGUCUUUUUCUCCUAUUUUUCCCUCUGAUUACUCGUUUCACCUGACUGUUUGAAUGAGAGUUCAGUGAAAAGGCCUCUUCCAUUGAAUUGAACAGGCGUCUCUCGUCAAUCCCCCUCCAGUCAUGUAGUGUACAGCCACCAUGCUCUCCACAUCUGAUGAACCAGGAUAAAAGGCCAAUUUGAACUACAGAUUCAGAUUAAAUGUUGUAUUUUCUGCCUCCCAUUUUCUUCCUCAUGACUCAGGUUACUAUCAGAGGAUAUGGCAGAGGUUAUUGAUCUAAAUGGAGCUGGUCUUAGUACGGUACCUUUCAUUGUCUGUGGUGGUUACAUGCUGUAGUAGUAACUGAUAACUUCACUAUACAACUGAACUAUAUUCAGGAGUGAAGGAGUCCUAAUUGAGUGAAAGAUGAAAAAGACUGUGGACAUAUUGUAUAGUGCCUGAACAGUGGCCCUCUCCACCAGUUCUAUUUUUCCUUUUAUAGUUGAAGAAUCCACACAAGAAGCCCUAUCUUUAGAUACUCAAAAAACUACCAAAAAAUCCAAUGGAAUGAAAAUAACUCAAUCAUUGCUGAAUGGAAAGCCUGAGAUGCAAAAUGCAGAAUUGUAUUUUUUCAUUGGGGAAGAAAAGGAUUGUCCAUAUCUGCUGGGCUGGAGAAGACAAAAGGGUCAGAGCUAGUUUGUGCCUGAAACAGGAACAGCUGCACAGAGAGAAAUCUACAAACAACACAAUGGGGCAGACUUCACUUGGAACUCCACAGUCCUGGGAGGACAUGAGUCAGUACUGACUGUAUCACAGAGGACCAGAGAGGAUGGAGCUUGUCAUUGACCUGCUUUUAAUAAUCUAGUUAGUCUAAUGUAGGAUCUAUCCGUGGUCAUCAAAUAGGAUCAUUGUGAUCUAAAAAACUGUAAUAUAAGAUAUUGCAGGGGGAUUAGAAUGUUUUGGACAUAAUAGUGAAUGUAUUACAUGUUUAAUAGAUAAUACUAGUUGUGAGAGAAAUGUAAAUCAUUUUAAGUUGAACUAUGAGGUAGCCCACUGAGAGUAGUUAUUUUUGGAUCGUGGUUAGGAGAAUAAUCUUAACACAGUUAUACAUCUUCUUAUACUUUCUAUCUUUCUUGCUUUCAAGCUGUUUUUCUUGCGACUUCACUUUUUUCUUUUCUUUUUAGUCUUUUUUUCUCCUUGUGGCUGUGGAGACAUGGAAUGAAGUGUGCUUUGCUGAGUCCAUAAAGAGGCGUUUUAAAAAGCUGUGUUAACAGACGAACAAUGGUUAAAUGAGCCCCCCUCGGUGAGGGGCUGGUACCCAUGGGGACUCAGCAUGGCACUCUAUUGGCCCAGCUCUCCCCAGUCCCCCAUUCACCACUCAGUCAUGGUCACUUAUGGUGGAGGGAAAAUCACACGAUUCAUGCGAGGCGUGAUCCAAUGACAUUUUAAUGAGCCCCUACUUUUUGGUUGGGCCAGACUGGACGGACUGGAUGGACACAACUUCAGGUUUCCCCAAGUUUCUGUCAGUCAGGUCAAACCAAACUCUUUCACUCUCUAUCUCUCUCUCUCUGUCUCCAUCCCUCUACCCCUCUCUUUCCUCUCUCCCUCUCCCCUCCUCUCAGGCCUUUUGGCCCACCAGGACCAGAGACAAAGCUCCCACAGCCCAGUUGCAGUCUUUAUGUUGCUCCUGCUGGUAGUUACCAUGACGAUGUCAUCAGAGAACCACCCUUUCUGCUGCCACAAUAGACUUUUUCUUUGUGAGAGUGUUUACAAUGAACAUUUUUAUAUGCAUAAAAAAUGAUGUAACGUUUGAUCUAAACUGAAUUUUGAUACUUGUGGGAUUCAAUAUAUUUACUGAUCAACAUUUUCAAAGGAGACAACUUAUAUAGUAUCUGUGAUUAUGUGCCAGUCUCAUUUUUCAUUAUGACAGAACAAUCUCUUUCUGAGACAUUACAUCAUGUAUCACACUCAUGUGUCCUAUGGUGUGUGUCAGUGUGUCAGUGUUGUCAGUGUGUCAGUGUGUCAGUGUUGUCAGUGUGUCAGUGUGUCAGUGUUGUCAGUGUUGUCAGUGUGUCAGUGUGUCAGUGUGUCAGUGUUGUCAGUGUUGUCAGUGUGUCAGUGUGUCAGUGUGUCAGUGUGUCAGUGUGUCAGUGUUGUCAGUGUGUCAGUGUGUCAGUGUUGUCAGUGUUGUCAGUGUGUCAGUGUGUCAGUGUUGUCAGUGUGUCAGUGUGUCAGUGUUGUCAGUAGGUCAGUGUGUCAGUGUGUCAGUGUUGUCAGUGUGUCAGUGUUGUCAGUGUGUCAGUGUGUCAGUGUUGUCAGUGUGUCAGUGUUGUCAGUGUGUCAGUGUGUCAGUGUUGUCAGUGUGUCAGUGUUGUCAGUGUGUCAGUGUUGUCAGUGUUGUCAGUGUGUCAGUGUGUCAGUGUGUCAGUGUUGUCAGUGUGUCAGUGUUGUCAGUGUUGUCAGUGUUGUCAGUGUGUCAGUGUUGUCAGUGUGUCAGUGUUGUCAGUGUUGUCAGUGUUGUCAGUGUGUCAGUGUUGUCAGUGUUGUCAGUGUGUCAGUGUGUCAGUGUUGUCAGUGUGUCAGUGUUGUCAGUGUGUCAGUGUGUCAGUGUUGUCAGUGUGUCAGUGUUGUCAGUGUGUCAGUGUGUCAGUGUGUCAGUGUUGUCAGUGUGUCAGUGUUGUCAGUGUGUCAGUGUGUCAGUGUGUCAGUGGGUCAGUGUUGUCAGUGUGUCAGUGUGUCAGUGUUGUCAGUGUGUCAGUGUGUCAGUGUGUCAGUGUUGUCAGUGUGUCAGUGUGUCAGUGUUGUCAGUGUGUCAGUGUUGUCAGUGUGUCAGUGUUGUCAGUGUGUCAGUAUAUCAGUGUUGUCAGUGUUGUCAGUGUUGUCAGUGUGUCAGUGUGUCAGUGUUGUCAGUGUGUCAGUGUUGUCAGUAUAUCAGUGUUGUCAGUGUGUCAGUGUUGUCAGUAUAUCAGUGUUGUCAGUGUUGUCAGUGUUGUCAGUGUUGUCAGUGUGUCAGUGUUGUCUGUGUGAUAUGUCUAUGGCUAAGAACUGUCAUUAAACUGUCUGACCACAUCACCACACUCAACCAUCAUCUGGCCGUCCACACACUGCAACCACCAGGCUCAUACCACAGGUCCUGGGCCAACAGCCCAGCAGCACACACAAACAUCCAGCAUAUACCAAUCUCCCUCUGCAGAGCCUCCCCACUGAGCUGCCUGUCUUUCUCUCGAUGCACCCUGCUUCUCAUGAGCCUCACUACUAGCUGACAUUGGUGGCUGUGGUGGGGAUGCAGAAUUAGUAUGCAGCAGAGCAGACAGGCCUUCUGUUCUAAUGGGGAGUCCAGAGCAGAGCAGAGUAGAGCGGAGUAGAGCAGAGUAGAAUAGAACAGAGCAAAGCAUAGCAGACGGAGCAUCAGUCUACCGGGGGAUUGAACAGCACCUUCCCUCCUCUCAUCCCCUCUCAGCCCCGGCCUGUCCCGAACCUUAAUGGGACAUCAGACAGACAGACAGAGAGACAGGCAGACAGAGAGACAGACAGACAGAGAGACAGGCAGACAGGCGUCAUUGAGCACAGAGCCCAGCCACCCCACCCCCCUCCUCCUCCUCCCCUCCCCUCCAAAAAUACACCCUCUUUCACACCACCCUCCAGGGCUAUUGAGGGGAUCCUAGACACCCUCCACCCCUCAGCCAAACUCUGCAUAAAUGAUGCUGGUGCCUCUGUGCAGUCCUAUCAGCACCCCCACGCUGUUUCCCAUCCUCCCCUGUCCCCUGUCAUUCCCCUCUCCCUCCCCUGCCCGUCAUUCCCCUCUCCCUCCCCUGCCCGUCAUUCCCCUCUCCCUCCCCUGCCCCAUGUCAUUCCCCUCUCCCUCCCCUGCCCCCUGUCAUUCCCCUCUCCCUCCCCUGCCCCAUGUCAUUCCCCUCUCCCUCCCCUGCCCCUGUCAUUCCCCUCUCCCUCCCCUGCCCCUGUCAUUCCCCUCUCCCUCCCCUGCCCCCUGUCAUUCCCCACUCCCUCCCCUGCUCCCUGUCAUUCCCCUCUCCCU
Molecule: long non-coding RNA, 5987 nt
Filed under: Salmo salar (Atlantic salmon)
Lineage: Eukaryota; Metazoa; Chordata; Actinopteri; Salmoniformes; Salmonidae
Description: lncRNA (ENSSSAG00000107399.1)
Source: RNAcentral